Molecule: long non-coding RNA, 7532 nt
Organism: Gallus gallus (chicken)
Lineage: Eukaryota; Metazoa; Chordata; Aves; Galliformes; Phasianidae
Exons: 2
Source: RefSeq, a predicted model, not a curated record
ACUUGAAAUAUAUUUGAAUAACCUCCAGUAUUAAAAGAUUCAUAAGUAUUGCUCAUAAAUUGUUAGAACUCCAUGCCUAGCAGGUAAACACUGGAUUACUCAACAUAGCCGUUAGAUUUCAGAUGUGAAAAUGAAAGUAUGGACUCACGUGUCUAGUUAAGGUUCACGUUUUGUAUGCAUUGAGGGAAAAAUCCUUUUUGUUGAGGAAUAUGUAAACAGAGCAUGUACUUUUUGAUAACUGAUGUUUAUGUUUACUUUCUUUUUGACAUUUAAGUAUAACUGACAUACUGAUGGCUAAGGAAAGAAGACAACUAAGCUGGAAGAAUAAUAAACAGAGCGCUGUGAGAGAUGGAAGAGAAGAAAAACAUGGUGGGAAGAACUGAGGCAGUGAGGCUAAGUUGCAAAUGAGCAGACAAGUAAUAGCUUGGUGUUUCACCACAAUAUCAAAUGAACUUUCAGAACUUUUCAGAAGUCAAAUGCAUUUAAAAUAAUUAACGAGUUUGCUUUAAAAAGCAUAUGCAUCUUCUCUCUUGUCUGUUAAGCCAGAAUGAUACAAGGAGAGAUUGUGAAGAAAAUUAUAUCUACAGGCAUUGUUUUUUUGUUAUUGUUGUUAAAAAUAUUUCCACAUUAAGUGGCAAAAGAAAAAGAAAGAAAAAAAUGUAUUCAUGUUCUUUGAGCCUAACAAUUUCUGUGAAUCUUAAGAUCACUCUUGAGGACCAACUCUACAGAUCAUCAUCAAGAGGUAAAAAAAGAUCACACCUGGAAAGAUCUGAAAAAUUCUGUUUUCUCAUUUAGCAUGCCUCCCUGCUAAACAUACGUGUCAAUCCUUGCAUAGCACCCCGAGCAAUCCAGCUUUACUCAUAGUGUCUGCAUAGACGCCAAUACUGUUUGUGUUCAACACAAACAAAAUCAAAAACUUUAAGUUCACUUGGGGCUGAGAAGGACCUUAAUACCUUUGAAGCUAUUAGUGUGACUGAAAUGGAUGAGACCAAACAGGAUACACAGCUGUCACCAAAACCCACAAACUGAGCACUAUGUAGUGUUGCUGAUAUAAACCUCAUUUACAUGAGAGCUAACACAUGACUCUGAGAGAAGGCACAUGGACCACUGGGUUUGAGGUACGUGAUCAUGUCCUUAUCUUGCACUGCUCAGCAGACUGUAUUUUUGCACCCUGCUUCCAGAGGUUAGCAUAAGCAUGGAAAAUUCUUUUACACAUUUAAUUACACUCUUACAUCUAGAGGCCCUUUGCUCCGUUUAUCAGAGUCCAACUCACUGUCUAUAGAAUUAUUAUCAGACAAAUCCCUGUCUCUUCCUUCUAAGUAAAAGGUUUAAGAGAUUAGAAAGUAGAAGAGAAGCCAUAUACAGCUAAUGGAGGACAAGCCUCCAAAUGUUUGGAGGUUUAUUUCAGAGAUACAUAUCUACAUACUCUUAUUUUUUAACAGAAGAACAGAUACAGAGUCCAAUUUUGACUUGCUUGAACAGAGGACAGGAUAAGAAAGAACACUCUGAGAUAUUACCCUUCUGAAGUCUCUAGCUGAACAGAAGAAAUAAUGUGUUUCCCAGCAAUAAAGAGUAGUUAGGUACUGAAUGUCAAAAUUGUAAUGUUCUGAAGUUCCCGGCAGCUCUACCUGCUUGAACCCCUGCUGAACCUCCCCACGCUACCUCCUUGAGCCCCAGGCAAAGGCCCUGCUACAAUUGAUAUCUGUAGUCCUAAAUCCUUGUCAUACCCAGAAGGUGCUAGCAAUCUGCCAUUAAACUCCAGUAACACUAGGCCAACAUUUUACCCUCGGUUAUGCUCACAGAGCUUCCUUUAGUGCAAUUUGACCAACAUUAAAAAUGGAGAGCAAGAACAUCAUCAGCUAUCAACGCUAUGUUUGCCACACUGCAAGCCUUCUCAGCUAAAGCACCACCAGCCUCACUACUUUUAGUUGUUCCAAACUAGAUUCCAACAGCUAGUGGAGGUAUUGUACUAAUUAAGAUUUCGAGAGUAGAAAGCGAAAUCAUCCUGUCUGACCUCACACUUGGCAUAUUACAGUUCCUUGCUUUCCUACACGAGAUUGUAUUGAUAACAACCAAUUGCCAGUAGGGAUCUGAGGCAGCGAGGUAAAUAAAUAUAUAAAUGCCUCCAUAUGUGUUCUCCACUUCCUUAAGCAAAAAUAAUGAGUCAAAUGAGUGAAAGAUCUGCAGCUCUCUUUUGUAUAUAGUUGCUGUACAUAUACCAACAUGGAAGAAGCCUUCCACAGACUUCUGUCAUCACUCUGUGUGAAAAAGCUCUUUUAAAGGAACAGCUACCAAUAGGCAAGUGAGCCAGAAUACUUUUGUGCAGGAAUGUGCGUUUCUCACAUAGCUCAGGCUACCAAAAGGAAUACAAAUAUUUGCAGGAGUAGAAAAAGAUGCAGAAAGGACAGUGAAUCCUCUCACUGCUGAAACACCCUAAGUAGAAGCAGUGGAGACUCCAAGGAGAAGAAGAGUCUGGAGAAAUCAGCAACUUAAGAGUAACAGUGAAUGAGAAGAAGAGACUGGGAGAGGGAAGAAAAAGGCCUCUGGAUUUCCACCAGAAUUAAACUGGAGAAAUGGGAGCAGGAGGGGCACAGGAGAAGCAGGUUAAAGAGAUUUUGCUCCUAUCUUCGUCAGCAAAGAGGGAGUAGGAAACAAGACCCGGACAGCAUUUCUCCCAAGUCUGCUGCUCUAGGCAACUGUUUACUUUGCUUUUGCCCAAGAUAGCGUGAGACGUUAUAAAAUGAGUUUCCACAAUGCUCUGAGUCACCAGAAUAUGGAUGAGAUCUGUGGAUUCAAGCCACCUUUCAAGAUUAUGAAUCUCUUCUGAAUAUCCAUUAUGCCAAUGAUACAUAACAAAAUCACUGCUGUAAUGUGAUGCACAUGUCAACUUUAAGGAUACAGUCCCUGCUCAGAUGGCAUCAGCAUAGGGAAACGUCAGCAUGGUGGAUUACCAGAGCAAAUGCUUUAACAUGCAAUGUGAUGCAAUGUGUUUUAACAACAAUUGUUCCCUUAUGUUUGUUUGUGUCAGGUUUGACGUGACUAUCCGCCAGGACAAUGCUCAGGAUUCUGUGUGUUGCAUUGCAGAAACUGAUUAUGUGAUCAAAUGCUUAAAGCACAUAAAAUCACGCCCAAGAUUCGAUGAGAUAUAUAUGCCAGAAAAUUCAGUAGGUGCUUAAAGUAAUUGACGCUAACAGCUAGACCUGGGUUUUUCAAAGGAAUAAGCGUUUUUGUUUGUUUGUUUUUCCUAAUGCAAUAUAAUAUAAACUGCCUAGAAAUUCAGCCUUAGCAUAAUGUUCAGAUCAAAUGAAAUUCACCCGUUAAGAAAGAACAUACACAGGGUCCUCCCUGAAGUGGAAAAGACAGCCUCUGAGUAGAACAGAUACCCUGGGAGACUUCUUACCCUGUGCACAUGCCCAAAAAGACAGCUCUGAAUCUAACUGCAUUGUAGAUCUAAUGCUUGUAGGAUUUGGAGGCUCAACGCUGAGCUGUAGCUCUCAGCAGCCCUUUUUCCCCAGUCCGUGAAACUCAGAAUCCAGUGGAGACAAAAACCUCUAUAGAAAUACUGUAUAUGUAAAUGGACUUAGAAGAAAAAGGGAGGGGUACCUGCUCUUAAAUUAGUCAUAUUUAAAAUGUAUUCUCAGAACACACUGAACUAUCAAACAGUCCCCAAAGUGAAGAAAUGUGAUUCUCAUUCAAGACUUAAGAGCAAAAGGCAAAACAACUGUGUCCCUUGCUCCAAAGUCAUUAUCUCACAUUAAGACUUCAUCCUGUUCUCCCAGUUCAGAAUUUAGUCUGGUUCUAAUGGCUCACUAGACAGUUUUGCAAGAUCUUCAUGCUCUCAUAGGUAUUUAGGCACUGAAAUCAGUGAGAAGUGGUACCUGUACACUUUCAGAAAUCUGUCUUUAAUUUCAACAUCCCAUAAAUUUUUUUAACAAAAACAUCCUUCAUCUUUUCUGCUUCACAAGUGAGUUGUGAAGCUUAAUUACACAAUGAUUAUGAAGUCCAGCAAAUACAACAUAUAUUAAGAGUAGUUAAUGAGAUUUCUGUCACAAGCAGACUCCCUCUUGUAAAAUAUUACUCACAUGUUGCAGGAAAAAAAACUCAAGAGAAAAAAAUACAGAUGCAUUAAAUAUAAAACAAAUCUAGCUUGAUUACUUCCACAAAUAAUAUGUUAUACAACUCUAAAACAUCUGUCAGGACAGCAUAGAGAAUAGCAUAGGCUUUUCUGACCAGAAUGGAAUCCUGUCAGCACGGAAUUCUGUCAGCACAUCCAUGUACUCAUUUUUACCUGCAGUGCCCAUCCAAGACAGGGCCUCCAGACCCACACACGAUCUGCUUCCCAUGAGAUCUAGUGGCUUAAAUACCUUCAAAGACCAGACAUGAAGUUCUGUUCCUUCAAAUCACAGAAUCAUGGAAUCAUAAAAUGGCUUGGGUUGGAAGGGACACCCAAGGAUCAUCAAGUUCCAAUCCCUCUGCUGCAGGCAGGGCCACCAACCUGUGGUGGUUGUAAAUAUUUCCCAAAAAGAUGCCAGCAUACUAACCAAUUACCACAUUUAACAGCACAGUGGAAGAUGGCUAGACAACUAUGAGCAGACAGACGAUCGUACAGAAGGCAUUGCUUGCAUACUUAGUGAUUUCUCAGGCCAUAACAAAGCAUACAGCCUAACUAGGGUAGGAGGACUCAAAAGAGGAAGACCAUUCCUUAAUAAUACAGAGCUCUUUGGCACAUUUCUUUUCUGUGAACAAACAGUGUAGCUGUUAAAAUACAUUUCCUGUUAGCAAUUAUGGCUCAGAGCUCACAGACGCUUUUACAGAACUUGGACAGGAGUGAUUUUCAGUACAUAGUGUCUCUAACAGCAAGUUAUAUUAAUAUUCACCAAAGGAAAACCUGUUUGUUGACCCAAAGUGUGACUGCUUACAAUUCUCUUCUUGUGAAAUUAUUUAGGUCCUGUGGGACAACUGUACUGAGCUUUUGACGCAAAUAUUAAAAUUCUAUUUAAAUGUACAAUGUUUUAAUGCAAAUUUUUACCAUAAAACCAAAUGCUCCAUUCAGUUAAAUUAAUAGAAUUACAAAAAGAUGUAAUGAUAGCAAUUAAGUCUUGAAAAUGCAAAUUUUAUAGUCAAGGACAAUUACCUCAUUUAUAGUAUCCUGGAAUGAUGCCAGAUGAAGGUAAUUUAGAUCUCCCUAGCUCACAGUUAUAUCAUGAAGGAUAUCUUAAUUUCAUUAGUACAACAAAGAUGGGUGAGAACUUGGACAAUAUGAAAAAAAAAAGGGAGGGAGAGAUGGGAGAGAAAAUUUGACCUUUCUCAUUUCACCGCAACUAGAAUACAUAGAUCUUACUAAAGGAUUAGUAAUAUUUCUUUCUAUUCCUAUCUCUGGGGAAAAAAAGGGGGGGGGGGGGGGCACUUUUUUCUUUUCUUUUUUUUUAUUAGCAGCAAUGGAACAUUAGUAUGAAAAAGGUCAACUCCCUUCAGAUUCUUAGAGCCACUAUGCCCACAUCACAACAGUUAUGGACCAUUCCUUCUUUCAGUUUUAAGGAUGAAUACAGCAUUGGCUCUUGGCUGACAGAGUAUCAAGCUAUGGCCUAGGGACACAUGGUUUUGACUCCAAUAUGAUUUAAAAUGUUCUUGAAAAAUUCUUCUUGCUCUUACAAAUACAGCCCCACUUCAUCCAAAGAGGCAAGUCAAAAAUCAUCAGUUUCUCAUUAGCAAGCAAAGAGUGAUCAAGUAGACAAAGAAUACAGAUUGAUAUGCCAUAGAUUCAGUAGUCUCCUUUGAAGGAAAAACAAAACCAAACUCUCAUACAAGUUCUUUAGCACAUUAUCAAGUUCAAAUAGGAGUUUGCAAUACUGCAGAUAUCCCUCUUCCUUUCCUUUCUCUUUGCUGUAGUAGCUACCCUUGACCCUUGAAGAGAUUUCAAAAAAAAAGCAUAUUAAAUAAGGUGCACCAUAAAGUUUAAUUUUAAAACUUUACAACUCUCAAUUUUUCUUCCUGGCCUGUUGUAGCCACUGCAAAGAAACUCAACUUCCAGAAAAAUAGCUGCAUCCACCUAAAAUCUUCUUACAUCAAAUUCCCUUACCAAACCUAACAUGUAGGCUCUGGAGAGAGCGGAAACCUCCAAGGACAGAGUAGCAAACUUCACCUCUCUCCUUAUCUUGAACACAACUAACAAAGAUAACAUGAAAAAGCCUUCCCAAGAGUAGAAAUAUCUGCUUACCGUCAGCAUUUGGUGGUUUUGCUGUAGAUGGUGCAUGCUGAAGCCAUCCCAACCUCCUGCUGACAAACCUUUCCUUAACACCCUGAGAUAGGCAGGUUCUAGAGGAUCGGCUUUAUAACUUCGAACAGCACCACAUAGCGACAGGAAUGCAGCAUUAGAAACCCCCAACACUCCUCAGAAAGGGUUUCUUCCAUCCAGUUAUUCUGUUUUAUGAAAAACAAGCCUUUUCUGAAGGAAAAAGUACCUUAAUUUUUCAUGUCAACGAUGCUAUCAGUCACCUCUGCCGCUUGAAAACAAUGGAUGACACUCUGGCUCAAGGAAAGCCACCUGCUUCCUUUGGGGUUAAGACGUCUUUUGGUGAAUUUCAUCUCCUAUCAAGCAAUAGCAAAAUUAGAGCUUGUACCACUAUUGCCUUCGUUCCGUGCUUUUGAUGCUUAUAAUCCCAUUACACCUGACAACUUAACCUGAGCUUGUUAUUCAUAGACAUGUAUGGUCUGAUGAAACAUUCCCAACUCCUGAAAAAUCUUUUUGUGUGUUGUUGGGAGAUUUGGCCUAAUAAGAAGUGCUUGAGUGGGUGUAGACUGGGUAUGUUUGUGCCAUAUUAUACAAUAUGGCUUAAAUUUCCAUGGCAUUUUAUUGGAAAGUGUGAACCUGACAAGCUAAUAGUUUGUGAAUCUGUUGAGUCUCUGCUGUUGCAUGGAGAAACGUUUUGUCUAGGCUAUUCCCAGUAUGCUUCAAUUGUAAAAAAAACAGGCUGCGAUCAUAACACAUCUUCAUGUAAAUCAAAGUAAAUUUCUGCAGGACAAUAUUUACCACUGUUAUGUACCGCAGAUCUCCCAAUUCCUCAUUUGACCUAACAGUCGGAAUGAUCUCAGGCCAGCAAUAAGCUGAAUACUGGUUGCUAAGUAAUAUUUAAUUUAAGCAUGAUGUUGUGGUCAACAAAAUGAAUUAGCAUUUUCUGCAUUAAUGAAGAUCCAGGCCUAAAAUCAAAUGAUGAUGUCAAAAAAUUAUGGAAAAUAUUAUUGAUCUAAUUCUUCCUUUUAUUACACUGACAGAGAAACAUGCUUCUUGGAAAUGUUACAUGUGAAGGAAGAAUUUUUCCUAUUGCAUCUUCUUUCAAGAGAUUCAGUUUUCUACUCAGGACUCCAAGAGAGUAAUUUACAUUUGUGAUCACCCAGCCAAUUCAAGGCAACUGUGGAAAGAAACACUAGUAAGAAUUCAUUUUGUUGAUCUUAUCAUAAAUGUGAGAGAGAUUUAACUUUAUCCUAAAUUCCACUAAAACCUAGAAUGCAAUAAAGAAAUAAUCAUACAUGAA